UACAGAGGGGGCAAGCGUUAUUCGGAAUUAUUGGGCGUAAAGGGCGCGUAGGCGGCUUUUCAAGUGGCGGGUGAAAUCCCUCGGCUUAACCGAGGAACUGCCUGCCAGACUGGAUGGCUUGAGACCGGGAGAGGUGAGUGGAAUUCCCAGUGUAGCGGUGAAAUGCGUAGAUAUUGGGAGGAACACCAGUGGCGAAGGCGGCUCACUGGACCGGUACUGACGCUGAGGCGCGAAAGCGUGGGGAGCAAACAGG
RNAcentral lists this ribosomal RNA (253 nucleotides) under uncultured bacterium. Its description in RNAcentral is "partial 16S ribosomal RNA". It matches the Rfam family "Bacterial small subunit ribosomal RNA", at positions 524 to 776 of the family's 1533-position model. The record is from RNAcentral.